This is a long non-coding RNA of Humulus lupulus (European hop), 1994 nucleotides long. RefSeq lists it as uncharacterized. Lineage: Eukaryota; Viridiplantae; Streptophyta; Magnoliopsida; Rosales; Cannabaceae. The record is from RefSeq and is a predicted model, not a curated record. The transcript has 2 exons.
UCAAAUUUUGUACAAUUUCGGCACUGAGGCUUUCAUUAAUUAUUGCCAUUAUUUUGGCCAUAUCAUUUACUCACCAUGGACCAUAUCAUUAAUGUCAUCUUUUUUUUGUUUUUCAAAUGCUAUAAGGGGUCAGCACCGACAAAAGAAAAGAAAAAGAAUAAGCAAGAACUCAACAAAGCUACAAUCCAUGGCGACUCAACCUCUUCUUCUUCUUCUUCUUCUUCUUCUUCUUCCUCUGCUACUCUUCUUUCUGUUACAGCCCUGGACCUUGCAGCUUGUGCUGUCUGCCUCCAUAGUCAACUAUCUCCCUGGUUUCCAAGGUCCUCUGCCUUUUCAUCUUGAAACAGGGUAUAUCGGAGUUGGUGAAUCGGAGGACACCCAGCUUUUCUACUACUUUGUAAAGUCGGAGAGAAGACCUGAGAAAGAUCCUCUGUUGCUGUGGCUCACAGGGGGCCCUGGUUGCUCUGCUUGGUCUUUAGGCUCCUCCCAGAGAAAUUCCCGCAAAACCAAGCCCCAAUUUCAAAUUGGGACACUAGCUUAGCAAUUAUUUGUGAAAAACAAAAAAAAAUGCAGUGAUUAAUCAAUAUUCUACAAAUUAAUUAAAAGAAGACUUCUGUAGUGAUUUACAAAUCAAAUGUUAUAAAAAAAAAACUGGAAAGUUCAAAAAUUCCUCUCUACAAUUCUUUGUUGAGUUUUGUAUAACAAAAAACUCUUCACAGAAACCUCACUUCCCAAAUCCCCUUUACAACCAAUGCACUCAUUGAUCUUAACUCAUAAAUUAACAUUUUAUUUAUAAAAUAGAGUUCAUGAGAAUUUGCUAAAACAUAAAACUUAACUCCAUUAAACCAGUAGAAUAAGUACUAAUUAUGCAUUAUAGAAUGUUUACCAUCUUUUCUUUUUCACCCUUUUUUUCCUAAGCCUUUCAACAUACACCAUAAAACAUUUUCAUUUCAUUUUAAGAAGAGACGAAAGUCACCUGUUCAUGAGCGACCUCCUCCCAAAUUUAUUGAAAACCUCACUUAUGGCGGAGGAAAACCGUAGUAACAAUCAGGACACUUGGAAAUUACAGAAAGAUAUAGAAAAAAUCUCAAACAUGAAAAUAAUAAGAAAGAACUAGACAUUACUAAAUGCAUACAAAAUAAAAUGAAAGACCAAUCUAAACAAGCCUAGAUUUAUGAAAACCAAAACAACUAAAUUACAAUCUAACAUGAACAUUGCUAGUUUCGUUAGAGAGACAUUGGCAUAAGUUGAAAGUGAAAAGCAUGAUUUUGCAGAAUGUGUCAACCAAGAUUGUAAAAUAUACCUUAAUCAUUGAUGAUCGUUAGAGAAUACGCUCAGCCUAAAGUAGUAGUUCAUUGUUAUAUCCCAUGCCUUCCAAGGAGCAUGUUCCACCACUUUGCAGAUUGAAUAUUGUCCCAGUCUUAUAGCUUUUCCCAGAUUUCGUCUGAUCUAGUUAUGAAUUGCACUGCAAAGGCUGGCAGAUUGGUCAGUUGUAGUAUAUUGUCCCAUGUAUAGAUUCAACUAGCACAAAUUUCAUCAUUGAUCAGUAAUUAGGCAAGAGUACAUAAUCUUUAAUAUGUAAAUUUCAUUGACAAACAAGUACUUCUCUACAAGUAUUUUCUGCAGAGGCUUUGCCCUUUGAACUUGUGCUUUCGCAAACAUUCUCAGAUAUACAUCUCUAUGUAAAUAAACAUGUCUAUAAACACUAAUCGUUUUACUUAGUAUCAGAUGGGGUUUUUAUAGCAGAAAGAAUUUCCAUGUGAAGCAUGUUCUGAACAGUAAAAAGAAAUCUGAACCUUAUUGGAUUAAUUCUCAUAAUGAUAUUUGGUCAUUCUGAACUCAAGUGACUUUCAUUUAUUGCAGCUCUAAGACUUGUUUUGCUCAAGCAAUCUGCAACCAAGAAAAGUUGCCUAGUUUGUACUAUAUUGCUUGAUUAAAUUCCAAUGGCUAACAAAUUUGUUAGAGGAUAUGUAAAGCUAUACUAAUAAGUACAC